UGCAGGAUACUUUUCCUCCAAUUUUGCCUUGGUUGUUGUUAAGGUGGUUGAUUUGAACUGUCCAUUAUUACCUCUUAGACCAUUGUUCACAACUUCAAUCACUAUAUCGAGAAAAACUUCAUCCUCAUUUUCAGGGCCAUCCGGGCACAACUUAUUGACCACUGGGUGGAGUGUUUAUGUCAGUUCCUAAAACUGAGUGACUGGUGACCAAUUUAUAUUUUCAAGGCAAGCUUCUACCACUACCUAUUGCACCAAUUGCUUACCAACCUUAAUACCUAAUGGGAUUAUACUACUACCGGUCAACAUCCUCGCAUUAUGGGGAUGGCUUGUAUGUCUUCAAAGAAAAAGAGAAAAAAAAGUCUAGAAAAUUGAUUAAGAAGUACUGUGGCCGCUUAAAGAUCACGCUAAAGCUUGACAAGUAGGAGCUGUUCCUGUAAUUAUGGGUUUGACAUUAGAACAGUUAGCUUUUGCUGGUGCUCCAUUGAAUGUGAGAUCAAUAUUAUUUAGCUCCACACCAUCACAAGGUACACCACUGCUGCAAAUUAGAAGUACUCCUUCUGGAGUUGCUGAAGUUCCCUUAAUGUUCUUGAAUGAAACCUUGCUUAUCUUUAUCUUUGAUGGAUUCU
Cicer arietinum (chickpea) is the source of this 626-nucleotide non-coding RNA. Lineage: Eukaryota; Viridiplantae; Streptophyta; Magnoliopsida; Fabales; Fabaceae. The record is from RefSeq and is a predicted model, not a curated record.